Microcebus murinus (gray mouse lemur) is the source of this 3626-nucleotide non-coding RNA. NCBI's taxonomy places the organism in Eukaryota, Metazoa, Chordata, Mammalia, Primates, Cheirogaleidae. The record is from RefSeq and is a predicted model, not a curated record.
CACAGCCACAUCCCCAGUGCCCAGCACAGAGCCUGGCACACAUUGGGUGCCUCAGUUUCCUCAUCAGGUCGUUGUGAGUGCUCGAUGAGUUGACACGUGUAGGUCGCCAUAUGUGGACCAGUGCCUGGCACUGGAAGCAGUAGACACGUGUUAGCCGUCAUUGUCGUCCAUGUGGCUCAGAAUGCACAUAGAAGACCUGGGCGGCAGCGGUGCCAGCUGCUAUGGAGUGCCUACAACUGUCCCAUAGCCGAUGGGGACACGGGGCCUGGAAGGAAGAAGGGACUUGUAGGAGGUCACGCAGUGAGUUAGUGCCAGAGCUAGGCUCGAACCCGGGUCUCGCAGCUCCAAGACCAGCGCUCCUUGUCCUGCUUCGGGGAAGGGGUGCCAAGGGCUGGCCUGAGGUCAGGGCUGUUCCUCACCCACCGGAGUGUGCAACACCCCUCGCCAAGGAGGCUGCGCCGUGACACCAGACAAGCUGAACUUUCCGCCUUGCCCUGCCUGCCCCGGAGCGGCGGGGAGCUACACAGUCCCCCAUGACUAUGAGCUCCUCGAGGGCAGAGGAGCCCGGGUUUCUGUGCACACUAGGGACUGCUCGGAUUGAAUAUGAUACCGUAUGUGAAGUGUUUGGUAGAGUGAGGGCUCGACAACACUCCUAGCAGAUGUUCCUAGCAGAUUCGUUGUUACCUCAUUCUAUGAAGCAGGUUCUACAUCGUUACUGCUCCCAUUUUACAGAUGAGGAAAUGGAGGCACAGAGGGAUCAAGUCUCCCAAUUAGUAAGUGGUAGGGCUGAUUCGAGCCAACCUGUGGGGCUCCAAAGUCCUGCCCAUGAUCAUUACAGGACGGUCCCAGUUUUACCAUCAACUCUUCUCUUCCCAGCCAGCCUCAGCCGGGCCCAAAGCCUCUUUCCUUCUCAGAAUUUUUCCAACCAGCACCUGCUCCAUUUGCAACACCUGACACGAGACUAGCACCUUUCCCAGGCCUGAGGCCUUGGAGUCAAACCAGCCUGGAUUUGAGCCUCGCUCUGCCAUUUUCCAGAGAGUUUGGAGAAGCCACUUCCCUUCCUAAAGUCUCGGUUCCCUCAACUGCAGCAUGGGGAGAGAGCUCGUCCUAACUUUGCUGGGCUGUGGUGGGGACAACAUGAAGCCAUGCUCGGGAGCGUGUGGCACUGGAAGGGUACGUGUGCUCAGUUCAUCAGACUCUGAUCGAAAGUCAAUCACAUCCACAGAGUCCUGGGGACGCUGCCAAGUGUUUCCUUGCUUUUCCCAACACGUUCUCGGCCCCUGGAGUGCGCAGCGUGGGGACUUUAUCCUGGAGAGUCAGCGUCAGACCCCCAAGGUCACGUCACAUGCAACUGACUGGAGGAGCCUCUAGCUCCUUCUAGCUCUUUGCAGUGAACUUCAAGACAGACAGAGCUUCCUCAUGCUAACACCGACCGUCUCUUGUGGCACAGGUUGGGUGUCAUUGCUAUAGAUGCUAUGCUAUCUCUUUACCUUGCCCUCCUGAAGCAGCAGCCGCACAAAGGGUGGGCAAAGCUGUUGAGAGUCAGGGGAGAGGAGAGCAGUGAAGAGGGCGGAGAACCCGCUCCUGCCACGCCAGCAGAGAGCCUGGCGCAGGGUAGGCGUUCAGCAGCUUCUGAGUCUCAGGCCCAAGCUUUGAAUUUUGAAGCCAGCCUUAAGGGGAACGAAGGCCUGUUCCGAGCCAGGCAGCUUCCCCAGGGGCCUGCUCCUGAGAGGCAUAGGAGGGGCAGACCCCUCCCGGUGAGCAGAGGGGCGGUGCUGCCUCCCACCCAGGGUCACUGGGACUCCUUCCCGGGGCUAUUCACGAGUCCUCCCGCCUUGGCCUCCUCACUCCCAUCUGCCCUUAUAGGCCCUGGGCAGAGCUCACACCAGCCAGUCCCCUGCCUCCAGACCACAGCAGGGGCUGGCCAGAUGGGAGGACCUUCCUGGGUCUACCUCAUCCCAGGAUCUAGGUCCUUGGCUUUGUCACGUCAAAGCUUCCCUGCCCCUAACCCAGGGACCAAGGUCAUUUCUAGGCUUUCUGGGCUGUCGAUUUCCCCAUUUUUGCAUGUUCUUUGGGUGCUGUACCCAAGCCACCACGAAGGUAGGAGGAGCCCAAGAACUCAUUCAGGCCAACCUCACCCUCCGUGCUUCAGGUGGGGAAACUGAGGUUCAGUCAGAGACUUGCUGGAAGCAUGAGAGUCAUUGGCAAGUUGGCAGGGAGUGAUGGGGGUGAAACCAAGGCUCCAGGGACAUGUGUCCCACACCAGCACGUGGGUGUACAGCCAUGUCACCUGCGCUCCCAUGUACUAAAGAGGUCUUACACAUUUACAAACCAUCAUACCACAAGCUAGCAACUGGGGCUCACACCUGCAUAAACAUUCACGUCCAUGUGUACCCCCAGUGGUAGACAUGUGCACCCGCCACUGUGCACACACAUGGAUUUAUACCCACACCACACUCAUCAGUACACAAUCAGAGCCACACUCGUGCCCCACAGAAUCCCACCCAUGUGGACAAUCUCACCUGUGUGCUCUGUGCUACAUGUCCCAUGACAUGCAUGCACGCAAACAGCUGACACACACGAAUCAGUUCACCAAGGUGUCCUUGAACACAAGGAUACACAUCACACCCGCACAGCUUGUGUGUUCACCCCCACAUGGACACAGAGCAGCAUCUAGACAACCCUCCCGGAUCACUCCUCUGCAGGUGACCACGGCUGCACACACAGCCUCCUGCCUGUGCCCUCCCGCACGGCUCACACACGCUGCCUGUCUGCGUUCGGACGCAGGCACACUCACCGCCACCCACCCAGAGUGCCACCUUGCCCAGUCUCCUCCACAGACCCCCACAGCCACUUGCUCCGACCCCUCCAUGGUGGGACACCCCUCAAGGGAACUGGAGCCACCUGGCUAUCCUUGGGACUAAGAGAGCACCCAGCCCACCCCUAGCUCUGUCCCUACAUAAGGUGGCUUGGGUCCCAGGGGAGGGCAGAAGGCUGCCCAGAGCUCAAAGUCCGGAGGCCGAAGUCUUGUUUGCAGGUGCUGGGCGGAAGUUGCACAACCCGCCUCAGCCCGGGUGACACGGGUUUAUGGUCUCUGGCUUCCCCUUGGCUGCAGGCCCAGGCCCAGCCAGCAACCUGCUUCUUGGGGAGAGGGUGGGGAAGGUGGCUUCUCUCCCCUACCUGGGGAACCGGUGGCCAAGGAAGGCCCCACCUGUUCCCUGCUAUGUGUGCUGCAUGCCCAACACUGAGGUGCACAAAGCCUAGAACCCAACCUCUCCUUUCCUGGAUGGGAAACUGAGGCCAAAGAAAAGCAGGGGGAUUUGCCCAGGGUCACCCCGCAAGCUGGAGGCCAGGCAGCACUGGUACCCAGGCUCAGUCUUUUCUCUAAGCCCUUUGUCAAAAGAAAGAUCACUCUGAAGCCUGACAGUUCUAAUGCAAAUGAGCAGAGCUCCUCUGGGUGCAGAAGGAAGGGACCCCAGAGCCCGGGAGUAGGGACCACCCUUCUCACCCCAUGCCCACCAUGGCUGAGUCGGUUAAUCAAAGGAUCACUCUGCUGCAUCACCAGCUCAUUGAGCUUAGCAAAUCUACGCCAACUUAAAAAAUAUAUAUUUUUUUAAUUUGUGAAA